AAGAUGGGUGCUGAGGGGACCUGUGUGUUUUUUGCCUUCCUAGUGUGUCUCUCUGGGGACUCUCCUGGCUGCUCCCAAUUUUAAAUGAAGGGGGACAUGGAGAAAAGGAAUUUGGAGACUCCUGGGUCCAGCACCACCACCGAUGACAUGGGCUGCUGCAGGCCAUGAUGAUAUUAUUUAAUGAAGAUCCUGCAACUGCCCAGGAACCACAGGCUCCACUGCCCAGGGACCUUAAGCAACAGAAUAGGCUAUGCCAGGGCCUGCUCCACCUGGCAGCCCUCACCCAGGACCAACCGCAGGAGUGGUGACCGCUGGGCCCUGGGGAAGCUGGAGAUCCCGCAGAGAGGAGCACUUGUCCCACUGAAGAGACUACACCUUCUUUCCCAGAAGCCCAGCACUUCCAGAGCUUCCAGAGUGGUGAGUUGGUGAAGAUGAAGUGUGCAAGCUCCACAAGAGGCCACGCCAGGCCUAGGAUGGUGUCUCCAGUAUUUCUGAUGGCACAGCGCUCCAGGUCCACAUCACGCUGUGAAGGAGGCAGAGCUCCCACAACAAGACACAGCUUCAGUCCUCAGAAAUCACACUGAGGGGAACGGAUGUCCCACAGGCCCGCAGAGGUUCCCUGGCCUUGGCUACCUGGAAGUAGCCUCUAGUACCAAGCAGCUCUCAGCCAACCACA
Molecule: long non-coding RNA, 676 nt
Organism: Fukomys damarensis (Damara mole-rat)
Lineage: Eukaryota; Metazoa; Chordata; Mammalia; Rodentia; Bathyergidae
Exons: 4
Source: RefSeq, a predicted model, not a curated record